GACCUGGUGGUGGAUGGUUCACGCCCACCCUUUAUUUGGAAUGAAUAAGCAUAUGUUGGGAGGAGUCGGUUCGAUUCCGGGCCAGGUCA
Non-coding RNA from Mycena metata, 89 nucleotides. The record is from the annotation of a GenBank genome assembly. Lineage: Eukaryota; Fungi; Basidiomycota; Agaricomycetes; Agaricales; Mycenaceae.